CCUUAGUAUUUUGGAUUUUUUGCGUACAUCGUGGUUUAUUUUCAUUAAAUCUAAUUGUAUUCAACAAUGGUUACAUGUUCUGUGAGUGAUUGUGGUGUUAAUAAUAGAAAUAAUCCUGAAAAUUGCACAUUUCACAGAUUCCCUCCAUAGAUACUAUAAUAAGAGGAAAGUGGUUGAGAUUAGUUGGACGCGUUGGUUGGAAUCCAAAGAAGAACUCUACCAUUUGCAGCAAUUUGACUUAAGAAUGAAUGUAAACAAACUUAAUAAUUUAGGAAACGAAACUGUAAUGAACCAGUUAAAUAAAUAAAUAUGUGGGAACAUCUCAGACACGGCCAUCCGAGGCAGAGCCUGUAAUAUGGGUCAGACAGAUGAUAUAUCUAAGAUUGUUCUGUUUAAAAGUCAAUAAAAUAAGGAGCGAUGAA
Plutella xylostella (diamondback moth) is the source of this 422-nucleotide non-coding RNA. NCBI's taxonomy places the organism in Eukaryota, Metazoa, Arthropoda, Insecta, Lepidoptera, Plutellidae. The record is from RefSeq and is a predicted model, not a curated record.